UACGUAGGUGACAAGCGUUGUCCGGAUUUACUGGGUGUAAAGGGCGCGUAGGCGGAUAAGCAAGUCAGUCGUGAAAUACCGGAGCUCAACUCCGGGGCUGCGAUUGAAACUGUUUACCUUGAGUAUCGGAGAGGAAAGCGGAAUUCCUAGUGUAGCGGUGAAAUGCGUAGAUAUUAGGAGGAACACCAGUGGCGAAGGCGGCUUUCUGGACGACAACUGACGCUGAGGCGCGAAAGUGUGGGGAGCAAAC
RNAcentral lists this ribosomal RNA (250 nucleotides) under uncultured prokaryote. RNAcentral describes it as "partial 16S ribosomal RNA". It matches the Rfam family "Bacterial small subunit ribosomal RNA", at positions 524 to 773 of the family's 1533-position model. The record is from RNAcentral.